AUUACGUGCUAUUUUUUGUGGGCCGCAAGUUGGCCAAUCAUGAGUAUUUUAUUCUUAAGCAUUUGAUACUAACUUCAAUUUCUUUUUUUCUAAUAUCGUAGACGAUGGUGAAGUCUUUUGAGGUGACUGAGUUACAAGUUAGAUCUGCAAAGUUCAUUGCGCGCAAACAAUGGGUUGUUGCUGGUGCUGAUGACAUGUAUAUUCGUGUUUACAACUACAAUACAAUGGAUAAGGUCAAAGUAUUUGAGGCGCACACGGAUUAUAUUAGGUGUGUGGCUGUUCAUCCUACGCUUCCAUAUGUGCUGUCAUCGUCUGAUGACAUGCUUAUAAAGCUUUGGGAUUGAGAGAAGGACUGGGCGUGUACUCAAAUUUUUUAGGGUCAUUCUCAUUAUGUUAUGCAAGUGACAUUUAAUCCGAAAGACACCAACACAUUUGCAAGUGCAUCUCUUGAUCGCACUAUAAAGGGGUAAAUUGUGUUGAUUACUUCACAGGUGGUGAUAAGCCUUAUCUUAUAACCAGUUCUGAUGAUCAUACUGCAAAGAUUUGCUACCUGUUUUCC
This is a non-coding RNA of Camellia sinensis, 559 nucleotides long. The record is from RefSeq and is a predicted model, not a curated record. Lineage: Eukaryota; Viridiplantae; Streptophyta; Magnoliopsida; Ericales; Theaceae.